UGAUUAAUUAGUUAAAUGGCUGCAGUAUUUUGACUGUGCAAAGGUAGCAUAAUCAUUAGUCAUUUAAUUGUUGACUUGUAUGAAUGGAUAAAUGAAAGGUUUAUUUUUUUUAUUUUAUUAUUAAAAUUUUAUUUUUUAGUAAAAAAGCUUUAAUUAUUUUUUUGGGACGAUAAGACCCUGAAGAACUUUAUUAUAUAAAUAAUUAUAUAUAUUUAUAUAUAGUUUAAAUUAUUUAUUAAUUAUUUAAUUUUUUUUUAUUGGGGUGAUGAAUAAAUAUUAAACUUUAUUUUUUUAAAUCAUUAAUUUAUGAUUAAUUUUGAUCCAAAUUUUAGAUUAAAAGAUCAAGUUACCUAAGGGAUAACAGCGUAAUUUUAAUGGAGAGUUCAUAUUUAUAUUAAAGUUUGCGACCUCGAUGUUGAAUUAAGAUAAGUUUGAGGGGAAU
Molecule: ribosomal RNA, 442 nt
Filed under: Atkinsoniella alternata
Lineage: Eukaryota; Metazoa; Arthropoda; Insecta; Hemiptera; Cicadellidae
Description: partial large subunit ribosomal RNA
Source: RNAcentral